Molecule: long non-coding RNA, 448 nt
Organism: Nerophis ophidion (straightnose pipefish)
Lineage: Eukaryota; Metazoa; Chordata; Actinopteri; Syngnathiformes; Syngnathidae
Exons: 3
Source: RefSeq, a predicted model, not a curated record
GCUAAAUUACUUCCUGUUGGUUGACUUCCGGUAUUUGUUCGAAAGCUAGAGAUACACUUUGUGGUCUUCUGUAGUACUUUCUGUUGCCAUCCUACACAAAGCGGCGAAGAAGCAAUGCCCCCCUGGAGCAGGAAGACAUCUCACUUUUUGACAAGCAUCACCUACAUGUGUCCAAACAGCAGACACUGCAGGUGCUAAUGGGCUAGCAGCGGUGAAGUCGAGGUUGCCGUCAUCUACCGCCCGGAUGGUAGUCAGUCCUGCCUGGAGGAUGGUGCGCAACUUGUCAUACCUGGGUGUGUCCUGGUAGCCCAGAGACUUCACUUCCUCCAUGAACUUCUGCAGCUCGUCUACAACACACAACAACAAUCACUUCCUUUCCAAUGUGAGCCUCUAUUCUGUGUCUUUAGAUGGAGAAGGACUAAAUAAAGACAGGAGACUAUUUACUAAA